This 545-nucleotide ribosomal RNA is filed under the name uncultured Glomeromycotina. Its description in RNAcentral is "SSU rRNA". It matches the Rfam family "Eukaryotic small subunit ribosomal RNA", at positions 552 to 1098 of the family's 1831-position model. The record is from RNAcentral. Lineage: Eukaryota; Fungi; Glomeromycota.
AGGGCAAGUCUGGUGCCAGCAGCCGCGGUAAUUCCAGCUCCAAUAGCGUAUAUUAAAGUUGUUGCAGUUAAAAAGCUCGUAGUUGAAUUUCGGGUUCAAUUUAUUGGUCGUGCCAACGGUACGCACUGGUACAAUUGGUUUCUCCCUUCUGACGAAGCAUGAUGUCAUUAAUUUGAUGUCGUGGGGAAUCAGGACUGUUACUUUGAAAAAAUUAGAGUGUUUAAAGCAGGCUUUGGCUUGAAUACAUUAGCAUGGAAUAAUGAAAUAGGACGUUUGAUCUUAUUUCGUUGGUUUCUAAGAUCGACGUAAUGAUUAAUAGGGAUAGUUGGGGGCAUUAGUAUUCAAUUGUCAGAGGUGAAAUUCUUGGAUUUAUUGAAGACUAACUACUGCGAAAGCAUUUGCCAAGGAUGUUUUCAUUAAUCAAGAACGAAAGUUAGGGGAUCGAAGACGAUCAGAUACCGUCGUAGUCUUAACCAUAAACUAUGCCGACUAGGGAUCGGAUGAUGUUAAUUUUUUAAUGACUCAUUCGGCGCCUUACGGGAAAC